RNAcentral lists this long non-coding RNA (399 nucleotides) under Amborella trichopoda. RNAcentral describes it as "long non-coding RNA (ATRI_LNC004926)". The record is from RNAcentral. Lineage: Eukaryota; Viridiplantae; Streptophyta; Magnoliopsida; Amborellales; Amborellaceae.
CAAUUAUAAUUGAACCCCAUGCUCUUUAGUAUCAAAGGCAGGACAAGUGAAUGUUCUUAAGAAGCAUUGGGAGAGAAAAUCUAGUAUCCUUGAAAUUCAUAAUGUCCAAAACUCCAAUCCAUUUGCAUGCUUUCAAAGUAUAGUGAGAAGGCAAAUGCAGAUGAAGAGGAGUUAGUUUUGCAAGACAUUUUUAAUCAAAAAAGUGAUUUUACAAUUGAGGACCCUAACAUGUAUGAAUAUAAAUUCCUUCGCGUAUUUAUUUAUGUAUUUGUUUUAGUGAUAAGAAUUCAUUCCUUUUAUUAACCGAUAUUGAGUUUUGAGGCCCUGAAUGUUUGAAGGUAGUUUGAAGUUACUGUGAAUUAUUUGAGUGAUCACAAGCCCCUUAUCAAUGGAUUGUGA